AACGCACAUUGCGCCUCUCGGUAUUCCGGGAGGCACGCCUGUUCGAGCGCCAUUACACCCUCCAAGCUCUGCUUGAUGUUGGACGCUGUGUUUUCUCUUUUUGGGGGACACACGUCUGGAACUUGUAGGCGUCCGUCACUGUCGAGACACCGCGAGCGUAGCAAGACUUUUAGUCAUUUUCGCUCUGUUGGAACUCCAGCGGACUGCCCUUAUGAUUUUAGGGGGGUUAACCCUCUAAAUUCAAAACCUCAAGAGUUUGGCCUCGGAUCAGGCGGGGAUACCCGCUGAACUUAA
RNAcentral lists this unclassified non-coding RNA (294 nucleotides) under uncultured Venturiales. RNAcentral's name for it is "sequence contains 5.8S rRNA gene, ITS2, 28S rRNA gene". The record is from RNAcentral. Lineage: Eukaryota; Fungi; Ascomycota; Dothideomycetes.